RNAcentral lists this ribosomal RNA (500 nucleotides) under uncultured bacterium. Its description in RNAcentral is "partial 16S ribosomal RNA". It matches the Rfam family "Bacterial small subunit ribosomal RNA", at positions 29 to 523 of the family's 1533-position model. The record is from RNAcentral.
AUUGAACGCUGGCGGCAUGCCUUACACAUGCAAGUCGAGCAGCAGCGCGGGGGCAACCCUGGCAGCGAGCGGCGAACGGGUGAGUAAUACAUCGGAACGUGUCCAGUAGUGGGGGAUAACCUGUCGAAAGAUAGGCUAAUACCGCAUACGAUCUACGAAUGAAAGCGGGGGACCGCAAGGCCUCGCGCUAUUGGAGCGGCCGAUGUCGGAUUAGCUAGUUGGCGGGGUAAAAGCCCACCAAGGCGACGAUCCGUAGCUGGUCUGAGAGGACGACCAGCCACACUGGAACUGAGACACGGUCCAGACUCCUACGGGAGGCAGCAGUGGGGAAUUUUGGACAAUGGGGGCAACCCUGAUCCAGCCAUGCCGCGUGAGUGAAGAAGGCCUUCGGGUUGUAAAGCUCUUUCGGCGGGGACGAAACGGUUCGUGCCAACACCACGGACUAAUGACGGUACUCGCAGAAGAAGCACCGGCUAACUACGUGCCAGCCGCCGCUGUAA